This 82-nucleotide transfer RNA is filed under the name Agrobacterium tumefaciens. RNAcentral describes it as "tRNA-His". The record is from RNAcentral. Lineage: Bacteria; Pseudomonadati; Pseudomonadota; Alphaproteobacteria; Hyphomicrobiales; Rhizobiaceae.
AGUGUUGACAAAGCCGCCAGUUAGUUAGAGCGCAGGUUUGUGGCACCUGAGGUCGGUGGUUCGACCCCACUCAACCGUACCA